This 497-nucleotide ribosomal RNA is filed under the name uncultured bacterium. RNAcentral's name for it is "partial 16S ribosomal RNA". It matches the Rfam family "Bacterial small subunit ribosomal RNA", at positions 28 to 507 of the family's 1533-position model. The record is from RNAcentral.
GACGAACGCUGGCGGCGUGCCUAAUACAUGCAAGUUGAGCGCUGAAGGUUGGUACUUGUACCAACUGGAUGAGCAGCGAACGGGUGAGUAACGCGUGGGGAAUCUGCCUUUGAGCGGGGGACAACAUUUGGAAACGAAUGCUAAUACCGCAUAAAAACUUUAAACACAAGUUUUAAGUUUGAAAGAUGCAAUUGCAUCACUCAAAGAUGAUCCCGCGCUGUAUUAGCUAGUUGGUGAGGUAAAGGCUCACCAAGGCGAUGAUACAUAGCCGACCUGAGAGGGUGAUCGGCCACAUUGGGACUGAGACACGGCCCAAACUCCUACGGGAGGCAGCAGUAGGGAAUCUUCGGCAAUGGACGAAAGUCUGACCGAGCAACGCCGCGUGAGUGAAGAAGGUUUUCGGAUCGUAAAACUCUGUUGGUAGAGAAGAACGUUGGUGAGAGUGGAAAGCUCAUCAAGUGACGGUAACUACACAGAAAGGGACGGCUAACUACGUG